Non-coding RNA from Triticum aestivum (bread wheat), 115 nucleotides. The record is from Rfam. Lineage: Eukaryota; Viridiplantae; Streptophyta; Magnoliopsida; Poales; Poaceae.
AAGGUACUCCCUCCGCUCGGAAUUACUCGUCGAAGAAAUGAAUGUAUCUAGAUGUAUUUUAGUUGUAGAUACAUCCAUUUUUGUGACAAGUAAUUCCGAACGGAUGGAGUAAUUG